RNAcentral lists this ribosomal RNA (406 nucleotides) under uncultured bacterium. Its description in RNAcentral is "partial 16S ribosomal RNA". It matches the Rfam family "Bacterial small subunit ribosomal RNA", at positions 29 to 526 of the family's 1533-position model. The record is from RNAcentral.
AAUGAACGCUGGCGGCAGGCCUAACACAUGCAAGUCGAACGAGUGGCGGACGGGUGAGUAAUGUCUGGGAAACUGCCUGAUGGAGGGGGUUAACUUCUGGAAACGGUAGCUAAUACCGCAUACCAUCGGAUGUGCCCAGAUGGGAUUAGCUAGUAGGUGGGGUAAAGGCUCACCUAGGCGACGAUCCCUAGCUGGUCUGAGAGGAUGAACGGCCGCACUGGAACUGAGACGCGGUCCAGAGUCCUACGGGAUGCAGCAGUGGGGAAUAUUGCACAAUGGGCGCUAGCCUGAUGCAGCCAUGCCGCGUGUAUGAAGAAGGCCUUGGGGUUGUAAAGUACGUUCAGCGGGGGUGCGUUACCCGCAGAAGAAGCACCGGCUAACUCCGUGCCAGCAGCCGCGGUAAUAC